This is a long non-coding RNA of Zingiber officinale, 744 nucleotides long. RefSeq lists it as uncharacterized. Lineage: Eukaryota; Viridiplantae; Streptophyta; Magnoliopsida; Zingiberales; Zingiberaceae. The transcript is spliced from 3 exons. The record is from RefSeq and is a predicted model, not a curated record.
ACCACCCAUUUCCCUUUCCUUCUUCCUCACCCAAUCCAGCGCCGACAGUCUUCAUCUCCUCUUGAUCCGCCAUCGCCGGCGACCAUCGAGCUCGACGCCAAGCUGUGAGGACGAAUACCAUAGCUAGCCGUCGACGAUCGCUGCCACCGUCUAUUUACGCGACCAAUUGGCGACACUGGCGACUGUCGCAAGAGCUGCAGAGCUCCCUCCAUGGCCGAUCACUUCAGCUGACCACCCAUCUGAGGUCGGCAAUCUUUGUGCACUAGCCUCCCGAUUCCUUCUUUCCCUAAUCUCAAUUUUCCUUCUUCUCCUUCUCAUCGCCGUCGCUGGGAGGAGGAGAAAUCGAAGAGGGGAUUAGGGCAAUCCUCUCUUAUCUCUUGCGGUUUCGAGCAAAGCGGCAGUGUUCCGUCAGGGAGGUCCAAUGUCUUCUACUCUUCAUGGAAUUUCUGUUCCUUUUCCUUGCCGGCAUAGAACGAUCGUCGAAGAUUUGAUCUCACUAUCACCUCAAAGCUUAUCGCCAGUGUAUCUCUACAUUUCUUCAUCUCCGGCCCAGAUUCACCGCUGUCCUGUGCCAGGAGCCGUUAAGCCCCAGUUGUGCUGUUCGUGAGGCAUCCACAGCUCCAGCUACUUUCCAACGGCAAGCUUCCCCGGUCAUGGGUCAACGGCUGCGCGAUUGGAUUUGGGAUACUAGGCGGAGACACAUCUCGACGAGACAUUACCUAUCACGAUCUACGUAAAAAGGCG